UCAAAUCUUUUGUUUAAUGCAGGAUAAAGAGUUUAAGAUUGAUACAGUGACUGUAAUGGAUUUUUUAC
This 68-nucleotide transfer RNA is filed under the name Craspedostauros australis. Lineage: Eukaryota; Bacillariophyta; Bacillariophyceae; Mastogloiales; Achnanthaceae. The record is from RNAcentral.